Molecule: ribosomal RNA, 442 nt
Filed under: Yamadazyma cocois
Lineage: Eukaryota; Fungi; Ascomycota; Pichiomycetes; Serinales; Debaryomycetaceae
Description: partial 26S ribosomal RNA
Rfam family: Eukaryotic large subunit ribosomal RNA
Source: RNAcentral
CUUCGGCGUCCGAGUUGUAAUUUGAAGAAGGUAUCUUUGGUUUUGGCUCUUGUCUAUGUUCCUUGGAACAGGACGUCACAGAGGGUGAGAAUCCCGUGCGAUGAGAUGCCCAAUUCCAUGUAAAGUUCCUUCGACGAGUCGAGUUGUUUGGGAAUGCAGCUCUAAGUGGGUGGUAAAUUCCAUCUAAAGCUAAAUAUUGGCGAGAGACCGAUAGCGAACAAGUACUGUGAAGGAAAGAUGAAAAGAACUUUGAAAAGAGAGUGAAAAAGUACGUGAAAUUGUUGAAAGGGAAGGGCUUGAGGUCAGACUUGGUUUUACCAGGCCAGCAUCAGUUUGGAUGGCAGGAUAAUAGCUAAGGAAAGUGGCACCACUUCGGUGGUGUGUUAUAGCCUUGGUUGAUACUGCCUGUCUAGACUGAGGACUGCGUCUUUGACUAGGAUGC